UAGGCGGCAGGUUGUAGCCCUGUGCAGGCGGGUUUAACCCCGUCCUUAUCAA
Molecule: transfer RNA, 52 nt
Filed under: Trachylepis maculilabris
Lineage: Eukaryota; Metazoa; Chordata; Lepidosauria; Squamata; Scincidae
Description: partial tRNA-Tyr
Source: RNAcentral